This 75-nucleotide transfer RNA is filed under the name Pseudomonas phage Astolliot. RNAcentral describes it as "tRNA-Phe". It matches the Rfam family "tRNA". From Rfam's summary of the family: Transfer RNA (tRNA) molecules are approximately 80 nucleotides in length. Lineage: Duplodnaviria; Heunggongvirae; Uroviricota; Caudoviricetes; Vandenendeviridae. The record is from RNAcentral.
GGGGAUGUCGUCUAAUGCCUAGGAUACCGACCUGAACAGUCGGUGAUGUUGGUUCAACCCCAACUGUCCCCACCA